UACGUAGGGUGCAAGCGUUAAUCGGAAUUACUGGGCGUAAAGCGUGCGCAGGCGGUUCUAUAAGACAGAUGUGAAAGCCCCGGGCUCAACCUGGGAAUUGCGAUGGAGACUGCAAGGCUUGAAUCUGGCAGAGGGGGGUAGAAUUCCACGUGUAGCAGUGAAAUGCGUAGAGAUGUGGAGGAACACCGAUGGCGAAGGCAGCCCCCUGGGUCAAGAUUGACGCUCAUGCACGAAAGCGUGGGGAGCAAACAGG
Molecule: ribosomal RNA, 253 nt
Filed under: uncultured bacterium
Lineage: Bacteria
Description: partial 16S ribosomal RNA
Rfam family: Bacterial small subunit ribosomal RNA
Source: RNAcentral